CCAGACUCCUACGGGAGGCAGCAGUGGGGAAUCUUCCGCAAUGGACGAAAGUCUGACGGAGCAACGCCGCGUGAGUGAUGACGGCCUUCGGGUUGUAAAGCUCUGUUAAUCGGGACGAAUGGUUCUUGUGCGAAUAGUGCGAGGAUUUGACGGUACCGGAAUAGAAAGCCACGGCUAACUACGUGCCAGCAGCCGCGGUAAUACGUAGGUGGCAAGCGUUGUCCGGAAUUAUUGGGCGUAAAGCGCGCGCAGGCGGAUUGGUCAGUCUGUCUUAAAAGUUCGGGGCUUAACCCCGUGAUGGGAUGGAAACUGCCAAUCUAGAGUAUCGGAGAGGAAAGUGGAAUUCCUAGUGUAGCGGUGAAAUGCGUAGAUAUUAGGAAGAACACCAGUGGCGAAGGCGACUUUCUGGACGAAAACUGACGCUGAGGCGCGAAAGCCAGGGGAGCGAACGGGAUUAGAUACCCCGGUAGUCCUGGCCGUAAACGAUGGGUACUAGGUGUAGGAGGUAUCGACCCCUUCUGUGCCGGAGUUAACGCAAUAAGUACCCCGCCUGGGGAGUACGACCGCAAGGUUGAAACUCAAAGGAAUUGACGGGGGCCCGCACAAG
This 607-nucleotide ribosomal RNA is filed under the name uncultured bacterium. RNAcentral's name for it is "bacterial SSU rRNA". It matches the Rfam family "Bacterial small subunit ribosomal RNA", at positions 331 to 929 of the family's 1533-position model. The record is from RNAcentral.